GACGGGGGGGGCAAGUGUUCUUCGGAAUGACUGGGCGUAAAGAGCUCGUAGGCGGCUUGUCGCGUCGUCCGUGAAAACCUGCAGCUCAACUGCAGGCUUGCGGUCGAUACGGGCAGGCUAGAGUUCGGUAGGGGAGACUGGAAUUCCUGGUGUAGCGGUGAAAUGCGCAGAUAUCAGGAGGAACACCGGUGGCGAAGGCGGGUCUCUGGGCCGAUAUUGACGCUGAGGAGCGAAAGCGUGGGGAGCAAACAGG
This 253-nucleotide ribosomal RNA is filed under the name uncultured bacterium. RNAcentral describes it as "partial 16S ribosomal RNA". It matches the Rfam family "Bacterial small subunit ribosomal RNA", at positions 524 to 776 of the family's 1533-position model. The record is from RNAcentral.